Molecule: long non-coding RNA, 1490 nt
Filed under: Felis catus (domestic cat)
Lineage: Eukaryota; Metazoa; Chordata; Mammalia; Carnivora; Felidae
Description: lncRNA (ENSFCAG00000047809.1)
Source: RNAcentral
AGCUAGUCUGAUGUAGUCAUCUCAACAAUUAUCAGAUAUUGUUGACAAAGAGAAUGCAUCACUGGGUGAGUAAUGUUCAUAAUCUAGUUGUAGCCAUCCCAGAAUGAGGCUUGAGUGACAUUACAAUACGUUGCCAAAAUGUUGAUAUUGGACUCGUUGGAGGAGCAGGCUUAGGUUCCAUUGUGAUAUGUGAGUCAAUAGCCAAUGGGAAUUGAAGUUGUAUCUAAAAUGACAAGCAAAUGAAGGUACAGCUUUCAAAUUCUAAAAGUUAAUGACCCUCUCAGAAAAGACCAAAGUUGACACAGGAAAGAACGGUGGAUUUCCGGGUAUACAAAAGACUAAAGACAUCCAGAAAUUACUUCUUUGUGAAGAAGAAUUAAGUCCUGGCAUAGAGACUGGACAGCUGGAAGAGCACUUGGGGAACGGAAGUUCAGAAGCUCAGCUCAUGGUUUUGUCUGUUUGCCAUCAGACAUUUUUAGAGCCCUUGUGAAUUGUAAAGACCACUAUUAUUCAAAACCUCAGACUCCUAAUACCUGGGAAAGGCAAUGGAAAGAGAAUUUUCCUUUGGGUAAAUACAGGGGAAGCAGCAGAGAAGAGAAUGGCCUCUGAGGCCCCUUCCUGAGGACUGGCCAGAUUUCCACCCUGCUGGUAGGGAAAGGACAUUUCUGCCAGGAGACUUGGCUGCUUUUUGACUGGAAAGGAAAUUCCUGGAGAGAGACUUUACUGUUCCAAGGCUUUUGAGAUACAAGGGAAUCCCAGUAACCAAGGAUCAUGGGGAAGGCCAGAAAGCUGAUGCAUCCAGUCCUGAGAGCUCAGGCCAUCUCCUCAAAAGGAAGAGAUGCUGCUCUGGCCUUGGGGGAUGAAGGCCAGCACAGGGACUGACUCAUAAACCCGGGAACUGUGUGACUCCCCUUCCCACCAGCCAAUCCCCAUUCUUUCCUCUGUUCAUAGACCCUGUAAGUCCAUAGAAGGGCAAGCAAUGAGCAACUUGACUUGUCCCCUUCCCCUCAGACCUGUCCUUAAUAAUUGAAAGGAAGGGUAUUUUUUUCUUUUAAAGCUCCACAUUAAGGCUGGUACAGUUCCUCCUCUCCCUCUUAGCACUUGGGAUUUGACACAUGAAACCUACCCAUUGUUCAUCUGUACGGCUCAUCCCCUUUCCAUGAAGAGUCCAUCUCACCGCCUCCUGCCAGCUUGGUGCUUUCUCCAAGGGCCACAAUGUCUCACCUAGCCUGAGGGCUUAAGUCCUAAUGCUGUGUUACUUACAUUGCCAGAACAAAUUAAGAUUCACAAAGAAAAAAAAAAAACUGGGGUGCCUGGCUGGCUCAGUCGGUACAACACAUGACUUGAUUUCAGGGUUGUGAGUUGAAGCCCCAUGUCAGGCGUGGAGCUUAUUUAAAAAAAAAAAAAAAGCCACUUCUCUUGUGUACAAUGACCCCACCACAAAGGCAGCUCUGUAAUUCAUACUGUGAGUUGCCUAGUUGGUUGCACUG